RNAcentral lists this ribosomal RNA (459 nucleotides) under uncultured bacterium. Its description in RNAcentral is "partial 16S ribosomal RNA". It matches the Rfam family "Bacterial small subunit ribosomal RNA", at positions 339 to 795 of the family's 1533-position model. The record is from RNAcentral.
CUACGGGGCGCUGCAGUAAGGAAUAUUGCGCAAUGGAGGCAACUCUGACGCAGCCAUGCCGCGUGCAGGAAGAAGGCCUUAUGGGUCGUAAACUGCUUUUAUUUAGGAAUAAACCCUCGCUCGUGAGCGAGGCUGAAGGUACUGAAUGAAUAAGCACCGGCUAACUACGUGCCAGCAGCCGCGGUAAUACGGAGGGUGCAAGCGUUAUCCGGAUUUAUUGGGUUUAAAGGGUGCGCAGGCGGGCUAUUAAGUCAGUGGUGAAAUCCCGGGGCUCAACCCCGGAACUGCCAUUGAUACUGAUAGUCUUGAGUUUGGUUGAAGUGGGCGGAAUGUAGCAUGUAGCGGUGAAAUGCAUAGAUAUGCUACAGAACACCAAUCGCGAAGGCAGCUCACUAAGCCAAAACUGACGCUCAUGCACGAAAGCGUGGGGAUCAAACAGGAUUAGAUACCCCUGUAGUC